GAGGGUAUGGCUCAGUGGUAGAGCAUGUGCUUAGCAUGCACAAGGUCCUGGGUUCAACCCCCAGUACCUCCA
Molecule: transfer RNA, 72 nt
Organism: Camelus ferus (Wild Bactrian camel)
Lineage: Eukaryota; Metazoa; Chordata; Mammalia; Artiodactyla; Camelidae
Rfam family: tRNA
About the family: Transfer RNA (tRNA) molecules are approximately 80 nucleotides in length.
Source: Rfam